CCUUUUAAAAACCCUUUCAACCAAUCAUUUGCAUCACCUUUUGCCAAAAUUGGAGCAACUUUAUUUUUGACCCCUGUACAAACUGAAAGUG
Long non-coding RNA from Thalassophryne amazonica, 91 nucleotides. RefSeq lists it as uncharacterized. The record is from RefSeq and is a predicted model, not a curated record. The transcript is spliced from 3 exons. NCBI's taxonomy places the organism in Eukaryota, Metazoa, Chordata, Actinopteri, Batrachoidiformes, Batrachoididae.